UUUAAAGUCUAAUCUGCCCUAUGAGGAUUUAAAUGGCCGCGGUAUUUUGACCGUGCAAAGGUAGCAUAAUAAUUAGUUUUUUAAUUGAAAGCUAGAAUGAAUGAUUGAACGAGAAAAUGACUGUCUCAAUUUAAUUUUUUUUUGAAUUUUAUUUUUAAGUAAAAAAGCUUAAAUUUUAUUAAAAGACGAGAAGACCCUAUAGAGUUUUAUAAUUAAUUAAUUGUUAGUUUUUAAGUAUUAUUUUAUUAAAAAUUUUUUAAUUAUUUUAUUGGGGUGAUAGAGAAAUAUUAUUAACUUUUUUUGAAUUAAAACAUUAAUGUAUGAUUUUUUGAUCCAUUAUUUAUGAUUAUAAGAUUAAGUUACCUUAGGGAUAACAGCGUAAUUUUUUUUUAGAGUUCUUAUCGAAAGAAAAGAUUGCGACCUCGAUGUUGGAUUAAAAUAAAUAUUAGGUGUAGAAGCUUAAUUAUUAGGUCUGUUCGACCUUUGAAAUUUUACA
This 496-nucleotide ribosomal RNA is filed under the name Maladera sp. 835106. Its description in RNAcentral is "partial 16S large subunit ribosomal RNA". It matches the Rfam family "Bacterial large subunit ribosomal RNA", at positions 1844 to 2600 of the family's 2925-position model. Lineage: Eukaryota; Metazoa; Arthropoda; Insecta; Coleoptera; Scarabaeidae. The record is from RNAcentral.